UACAGAGACUGCAAGCGUUAUUCGGAUUCACUGGGCGUAAAGGGUGCGCAGGCGGUUGCGUGUGUUGGAUGUGAAAGCCCGGGGCUCAACCCCGGAAUUGCGUCCAAAACUACGCGACUAGAGUACCGGAGAGGAUAGCGGAAUUCACGGUGUAGCAGUGAAAUGCGUAGAUAUCGUGAAGAACACCAGCGGCGAAGGCGGCUAUCUGGAAGGUAACUGACGCUCAGGCACGAAAGCGUGGGGAGCAAAAGGGAUUAGAUACCCCUGUAGUCCACGCCCUAAACGGUGCACACUAGGUGUUGGCGGAUUCGACCCCGUCAGCGCCCAAGCUAACGCGUUAAGUGUGCCGCCUGAGGACUACGGCCGCAAGGCUAAA
RNAcentral lists this ribosomal RNA (376 nucleotides) under uncultured bacterium. RNAcentral describes it as "bacterial SSU rRNA". It matches the Rfam family "Bacterial small subunit ribosomal RNA", at positions 524 to 898 of the family's 1533-position model. The record is from RNAcentral.